GAUAGAUGGAAGUUCUGUCUUGCAACAUCAAUUGAUGUGCCUGCUAGAUGAGAAAGAGUGGGUAAAUGAUGAUGUGAUCAAUGCAUAUAUAUGUUGUAUAAAGGACCAAAUACAUCUCCAGAAUGAUAAUAAAGUAUAUUUUGAGAGUCCAUUUGUUACCUCACUAUUUAAACGAGAUGGCACCAUUGGAAUACAAGAAGGUAGUGCCUUCAUGACAGAGAUUGUCCUCGAAUAUAUGCAGCAUGACAUGAUUAAACUUCCAAUAAAUGCCAAUAACACACAUUGGUAUUUAGCUGUUGUGAAUACAAAAAAAUGUGAGGUUCAAGUUCUAGACU
Long non-coding RNA from Triticum aestivum (bread wheat), 335 nucleotides. RefSeq lists it as uncharacterized. The record is from RefSeq and is a predicted model, not a curated record. The transcript is spliced from 3 exons. Lineage: Eukaryota; Viridiplantae; Streptophyta; Magnoliopsida; Poales; Poaceae.